AACGAACGCUGGCGGCAUGCCUAAAACAUGCAAGUCGAACGAGACCUUCGGGUCUGGUGGCGCACGGGUGCGUAACGCGUGGGAACCUGCCCUUAGGUUCGGAAUAACUCCCGGAAAGGGGUGCUAAUACCGGAUAAUGUCUUCGGACCAAAGAUUUAUCGCCUUUGGAUGGGCCCGCGUUGGAUUAGCUAGUUGGUAGGGUAAAAGCCUACCAAGGCGACGAUCCAUAGCUGGUCUGAGAGGAUGAUCAGCCACACUGGGACUGAGACACGGCCCAGACUCCUACGGGAGGCAGCAGUGGGGAAUAUUGGACAAUGGGCGAAAGCCUGAUCCAGCAAUGCCGCGUGAGUGAUGAAGGCCUUAGGGUUGUAAAGCUCUUUUACCCGGGAUGAUAAUGACAGUACCGGGAGAAUAAGCUCCGGCUAACUCCGUG
This 433-nucleotide ribosomal RNA is filed under the name uncultured bacterium. RNAcentral's name for it is "partial 16S ribosomal RNA". It matches the Rfam family "Bacterial small subunit ribosomal RNA", at positions 29 to 507 of the family's 1533-position model. The record is from RNAcentral.